This 629-nucleotide long non-coding RNA is filed under the name Helianthus annuus (common sunflower). The record is from RNAcentral. Lineage: Eukaryota; Viridiplantae; Streptophyta; Magnoliopsida; Asterales; Asteraceae.
AUGAAUAAAAGCAUGAUUACUCAAAUUUGCAGUUAUUUCAGAUAAACCAAUUGUUGAAGACUCCCAAUAAUUAACAGUUUGAAGAAAUGAAAACAACCCAAAUCCACAAUAAUCAAGACAUACCUUUGAAACACUUUCAGCCAAGUGAGAAUACUCUUCAACCCUUAAUUCAUCAAUCUUUUCUGAUGAUUUAUACUUUGGGUACAUCUUCAAGAACUUUGAAAAAGCUUCAUCAAAGUCAGGAACAGAAUCUUGAACCUCAAAUGUCCUAUCAGCAGCAAGAGAUGUAGCUUUUAAGAACUCUUUCUGAGCCUGUAAUCUAGCAAGUGAUCUUGAUCUCCCCAAGCUCUUAUCUUGAAUAUCUAUGCUCUCUUCAGAAUCCAUGUUUUGGGAUUUGAUAAGACACCCAUCUUCAGAUGCUUGUUCAAGAGCUUCUUUGAGUAUAUCUUCUUGUAAUCUUCUAAGAACAGACCCAUCUUUCUUUCUGUUCUUUACUAAAAAAGAACAGUGGGAGAUGAUGGGUUUCCAGAGUGAAAUAUGCAUCAAGCUUGAAACUUUAAGAUGUUUUGAAUUAACUGAUGAUUGAUAGAGGAAAAAAAGAAAGAUGGGUAUUCUGUGUUUUUGUUUGU